CCCUCGCUGUCGGUUACCGUGGGGGAUGGUAGCUCUCUUCAGCGCUCGUUUAGCUCAUUUUGACCUUCGUGAAAGUCUUAAUUUUACAGAUAUCGUGAUCCAGAGAGAGAAUAAAAUGUUCUCUUUGUGUUCCGUCGGUGCUGAAGCGGUCGAGGAUGAAGGUCUGCUGGGAGACACAAACAGAACCAGGAUAUAUUCUUUUUUUUUAGACCUCAACGGACACAUUUGGACCAUGAGUCGUUUAAAACUGGAGAGAUUUUUUAGGCCAACCAUAGGAUAAAGACCUACUUCUUUACAGCUUUCUGAGCGGCUUUAUUUGCCCCAGAGGCCUGUAAGGACAUGGAGCAAGGGGACAAACAUGCAGGUUGUUGCCUUUGUAGCUGGUUUGGUGCUGAUGCUGACCCCAUCAUGCUGUGCAGAGAACGCAAACUUCACCUGCUACAGCCUAACAUCCCCAGAGGCUGAAAACAUUCAAAAGGUGUACGACGACAAUCAAAAGUCAGGAGUGUUCUGGUCCCAAAGCGCUUCAGGCUUGGAUCCCUGUGACUUCUCCUCCAUCUACUCCACCCCCCAAUGCUCCGUGUGCAACGACUCAGGGACCAUCAUUGUUGUUUUAUACAACCUGACGAUCAACAUGAAGCUAACGGUGGAGGGUCCAGAGCGCCCCAUCAGCUACAACAAGAUCGGUAAGAAGCUCCACACACAUUUGUAGAUUUAAAAACAUUUGUGGACCUGAAACGUUCCAGAUAAACUAACCAGGGUUCCUCCAUCUCAGGAACAGUCCCAGAUACCUGCUUUACUCCUGGUGUCAUGGCCAACACUGCCAACAUGAGGCUCAUAACGUUGUUUUUCUGGUAAAAACAACUAUCUCAGUCUCCCUUCCCACAACUUUUCACAUUAUUUUAAAGUCAGCCUGCAGCCAACCAGCUGCUCAGGUUGACCACUGAAGAAAAUAUUCAGCAAUAUGAUCAGAAAGUAGGAUUAGCACGAUGCUAACAUUUCAAACUCGAUACCGAUUCUAAAAACAUUCUCAAUACUUGAUACCAUUUUUGAUACAGUGGCAAAUAAUUUGACUGCAAAGGUUAAUUUCUGGUUGGGAGCAAAAAAAGUAAUUUAGAAAAUGACAGACAGCCUUCCUGUGCAGGAACAGCCUCAGCUUUUUUGUCCAGAUAAAACAGCACAAGCGUUGCAGUUAAAUGCAGACCCCUUUAAAUGGGACAACAGCGCCAUCUACUGUCUGGUCUAGACCUGCAGGCAGUAGAGAUUGAAGAGCAUCAGCUUUACUGUAUCUAGGUAAUUAAGCCAUGAAUGUCUGUGGAUGAAUAAUAAAGAUAAGCUCCUGAAAGAGUAUAAAACUUUAUGUAUCUGUAGUUUAUCUUUAGUAUUAAUGGCUGAAUUGUUUUGCCAUAUUUUUAAUUAGUCUAUUUUAGGUUUAUUUUAUUGAUGGUGAUUUUCAUGGAUAGAUAAAAGUAAUGUGCUGAAAAGAUAAAAAUAAAAAUUGACCAUUUAUAUUGGCCUGAGUUCUGAAUCGAUUAAUUACGAUUUGAUCUGAUCUUAAAUUGUGAAAAUGGGUAAAUAUUUUUUUUCUCUUCACCGUAUGUAACAAAGCGCUGACGUAAAUUGUCGACAUUAAGCUUGAGCUGUAAACAGCUUCCUCGAGUCUCAAAGGUACAAACUUAAAACAAGUAAAAUAUAUUUUGCGGAGGUAAAAUGCAGCAUUCAAUCACUGUUAAUAGCAUAAAAACAUUUAAGUGGAACCAUAACAAUAUUCAGAGUAAAAUUGAACUGUCAAGUCUAAGUAUUGUGACUUUGUUGACAUGAUCUGGGUUCAGGCAGCGACAAAGAAAAACUUCUGCGAUGCAUUUCUGGUCCCUGGGACACAGAUGAAUCAGGCUCCAUUCCCCUGUACCACGUCUUGUUUCAGACAUUAAUGCUUUAAAGAAAUCUACAAGAAAUGGUAAACAAAUAUAACUACAUUUUCUUUGAUAUUUUUAGGGCUAAAAUAACCCACUGGGAUAAAUAUCUGGAUCACACAUCAGUGCACCUCAUACAGCGCGUCUGCAUAGAGAACUCAGAAGUGUUUAUUAACUAUUAAUAGGGCUGGGCAAGUUAACGCGUUAAUUUCGCGUUAAUUCAUUAGACUAUUAACGGCGAUAUUU
Molecule: long non-coding RNA, 2159 nt
Organism: Fundulus heteroclitus (mummichog)
Lineage: Eukaryota; Metazoa; Chordata; Actinopteri; Cyprinodontiformes; Fundulidae
Exons: 3
Source: RefSeq, a predicted model, not a curated record